Molecule: ribosomal RNA, 253 nt
Filed under: uncultured bacterium
Lineage: Bacteria
Description: partial 16S ribosomal RNA
Rfam family: Bacterial small subunit ribosomal RNA
Source: RNAcentral
UACGUAGGGUGCAAGCGUUGUCCGGAAUUAUUGGGCGUAAAGAGCGUGUAGGCGGCCCCGUUAGUCCGCUGUGAAAGUCCAGGGCUCAACCCUGGAAUGCCGGUGGAUACUGUCGGACUAGAGUGCGGAAGAGGCGAGUGGAAUUCCUGGUGUAGCGGUGAAAUGCGCAGAUAUCAGGAGGAACACCAAUUGCGAAGGCAGCUCGCUGGGACGUUACUGACGCUGAGACGCGAAAGCGUGGGGAGCAAACAGG